Molecule: ribosomal RNA, 422 nt
Filed under: uncultured bacterium
Lineage: Bacteria
Description: bacterial SSU rRNA
Rfam family: Bacterial small subunit ribosomal RNA
Source: RNAcentral
GGGCCCGCACAAGCGGUGGAGCAUGUGGUUUAAUUCGAUGAUACGCGAGGAACCUUACCAGGGCUUAAAUGUAGUGGGACAGGUCUAGAGAUAGACCCUUCUUCGGACUCAUUACAAGGUGCUGCAUGGUUGUCGUCAGCUCGUGCCGUGAGGUGUCAGGUUAAGUCCUAUAACGAGCGCAACCCCUAUCGUUAGUUGCCAGCGAGUAAUGUCGGGAACUCUAACGAAACUGCCAGUGCAAACUGUGAGGAAGGUGGGGAUGACGUCAAAUCAUCACGGCCCUUACGUCCUGGGCUACACACGUGCUACAAUGGCCGGUACAGAGAGCAGCCACUUCGCAAGAAGGAGCGAAUCUAUUAAAACCGGUCUCAGUUCGGAUCGGAGUCUGCAACUCGACGGCAUGAAGUCGGAAUCGCUAGUAA